UACGGAGGAUCCAAGCGUUAUCCGGAAUCAUUGGGUUUAAAGGGUCCGUAGGCGGUUUGGUAAGUCAGUGGUGAAAGCCCAUCGCUCAACGGUGGAACGGCCAUUGAUACUGCCAGACUUGAAUUAUUAGGAAGUAACUAGAAUAUGUAGUGUAGCGGUGAAAUGCUUAGAGAUUACAUGGAAUACCAAUUGCGAAGGCAGGUUACUACUAAUGAAUUGACGCUGAUGGACGAAAGCGUGGGUAGCGAACAGG
This 253-nucleotide ribosomal RNA is filed under the name uncultured bacterium. RNAcentral describes it as "partial 16S ribosomal RNA". It matches the Rfam family "Bacterial small subunit ribosomal RNA", at positions 524 to 776 of the family's 1533-position model. The record is from RNAcentral.